This 461-nucleotide unclassified non-coding RNA is filed under the name Hevea brasiliensis (rubber tree). The record is from RNAcentral. Lineage: Eukaryota; Viridiplantae; Streptophyta; Magnoliopsida; Malpighiales; Euphorbiaceae.
AAGGAAAAGAAAAGAAAAAGAAAAAGGAAAAUCUUGAAUUUAAUCUUUAUAAAAGGUAAAGUAGAUAAUGGUUCAUUACUUGGUUCUUGCCCUUUUUGACCUUUAACAAUUGCUUUAAUGGCCAGCUGGCUUGAGCUACAGAACCAGAACCAAAUUCUGAAAUUUCUGAGAAUCACAGAAUCGAAUUUCUCUCAUAUUCAGAAUUCUGAUUCUACCCGCUGUUUUUGAAAUGGGAUUUUCUUUAUUUUUUCAAAAAAUUAGCCUUAGCCUUAGCCACACGGCUCAUACUCUGGAUUGACACAGUUUCCCAGUAACCAAACAAAAUUUAGAAAGAAACACUGAAAUGGUCCACCCAUAGAAUUGAGAAAACCCCUUUUCAAUACCCCUCCUAAUAAUUUAAUUGCACUCAUACUUUUCCUUAUCUCCAAAAUUUUUCCAGGAAAAUAAAGAAAAACAUUAGU